RNAcentral lists this unclassified non-coding RNA (1080 nucleotides) under Hevea brasiliensis (rubber tree). The record is from RNAcentral. Lineage: Eukaryota; Viridiplantae; Streptophyta; Magnoliopsida; Malpighiales; Euphorbiaceae.
GUGCUUACGGCUUAAGCUGUUUUGUUCUGAUCAUUUUAGGGUUUUUUUUUAUAAUUUUUAAUUGUUUAGAGCUUGAUAUUUAUGGGUACUUUAUUAUAGUUGUUGUUGUUGCUACUUUUCGGUUUGAAUGGAUAUGGGUUACUUUUCCAGUGCUUAGAUCUUUCACUUGUAUGCGGUUUAAGUUCUUAUUGAUGGAGUCUUCUGGUGAUGCUUUUGAUGCUUCUGCUUUUGAGGUAUAAAUAAUGCCUCUGAAAAUUAGGAAUGUGAUAAUUUUCCAUUGUUAUAUUUUUCUUCAAGCUUAUGCUGAAGCCUGAAGUGUGGCUGUUCUACUUCUAGUAUGAGGUUAAUAUUUGAUCUUUGUAAUGGUCUGUUUUCUUAAUGUAGGUCUGUAGGGAUUUACUUCAAUUGUCCUUUAGCAAAAUGGAUGCAAAAACUUAUUUAGGGCUAGAGUGCUAUUAAUUUUUUCAGGUUGGAUAAUAUAAUUUGUGGUAUGUUGGUCUCGAAGCAUAUGAUCGUUGAUGCUCAGCUACUAUUUAGGUUCAUAUUCAUAGUUGGGUUGCAUAGUACUUUCUUGACUUGUUAUAGUGGGAGGAAUUUAUAACAAAGGGAAAUGCAAUUUUAUAUGAGGAAGUUAAUAGAUGAUGACAAUUGCCAAAUUGGCCCUGAAUAAUCUAGGUUUCAUCAGUAAGUUGUUCAUGAAAAGCUCAUUAUCACAGCAUAUGUGGAUCACUUGCUAGGGUGCCAUUUAAAGUGAAGAUAUCAUAUCCUUUAUGCUGUAUAAUGGGAAAAUGGCUGCAAAAGCAUAAUCAUUCUGUUUACUGUCCCUUCUUCUGUCUUAUUUAACUGGAGACAACCCAAUUCCAUUGAAUUUUGUUGCAACUUCAUGUCAAAUAAUAAUAGGGUUGGUAGGACUUUGGCUUGCUCAAAUUAUAUUAUCCAUCUUGAAAAACUAAGACUGAUUCCUAGUGAUCAUUAAAUUUCUUAUGAUAUGUCUACAUGCUUUAAGGAGUAUUAUGUUCAGCAAAAGCAUCUCUUAUAUAGGUCUUAACCUGAGAGGUACUGCAAAACUGGUGGCUAAAU